CAAAACUGAAAUGGAACAGGGGCAGAAAAUAGCACACUUUUACUCUACGCAACUGUUGCUUUUUCAUGAUCUUCAGGAAUUUUACUGGGAUAAUUAUCCAAAUAAAUUGCAAGCAUUCUAUCCAAAUGGAGCUCUUUCUGAGAUGAAGAGAAUUCUCAAUGUCAAGAUUUGAACAAGAAGAGAAUGGAAUACACAAUAUGGACAUCCAUAAAAAUUCAUCAGAGAGCAUUUUACUACUGAGCUGCAAAGGGAAAAACUUAAAAUGGAUAUGAAAAGUGAAGAAAGUGAUCAUAGGAGAAAACCAUUUCAGCCCUUAGGUGUAUGGCUGCCAUAUUUGGAGGAGCUGACUGAAGAUAUGAUAAGGAGUUUGAAGCAACAUUGGAAGCUGUGUGCAUCCGGGUUGAGGUAGUAGGUUGUAUGGUUUAGAGUUACACCCUGGGAGUUAACUGUACAACCUUCUAGCUUUCCUUGGAGCACACUUGAGCCGUCGAGGAAUUCUUCAUCACUUUAACCUGAUUGAGCCAAUUUGUGUGCAAGAAGGUAAUGUGUCAUGAGUAUCUUGGAUCAUUGAUUUGGGCCUUUAUUACAUUAAAAUGAUCAUUUCAGCCCUAUUAGAUUAUUCCAUUUGUAUCUGCUUAUGAACAAUGUCAAAAUGGUAUUUCUAAUGGGUUGUCACUCCAUGUUCAAACAUUUUAAGAAAAUUGUAGGUAGUGACUUAAAUUGCAUUAAUAUUAAAGCUUUUUAUCAUCUAUAGAUUAACAAAAUUCAGACCUUAAUUUUCAAAUGGAUCAUUGGUCUAUUUAUAUUGGCUGCUUAGACACUAUAAUAAAAAAUGUCUGCUAGAGUUAAUAGCUCCCAUAGCACAUUAUUUGCGUUUUCCUUAUGACACAUCACUUUCUACCUUAUGUUAUGGCUAUUUAUGUGCUUGCUGAUUUUUUCCGCACUAGACUGUAAGCCCCUUGAGGGCAAAGUCCAUGUUUUAUUUUUCACUGUAUCCCCUCCAAUGCCUUACUCAUAAUGAGCACUAACUAUUUAUUGGAUUAGUGAAUGGAGUGUAAGACCUCACUCUGUGAUGAGUUUCUAUUGAAUAUUUGAAUGAGUUAUGGCAGUGGUCAAACAUCUGAGUUUUAUUUAUUGCUCCUAAAACUGUUUAAAUUUAAUUCCUGGACUGCUCCGCAUCAGUAAUACAUGUGUCGAUUUUUGACUGUGUUGAAUGUGUUCAUUCAUUCUAAACAGAUAAGUUAAAAUUUAGAAGUACUUUUUAUCUAGAAUAAAAAUAAUAGAGUAAAUUCAUUUUUACUAAUUAGUUCAUGACAGUUUAUGAUCCUACACUUAGAUAAUUCAUAUUUCUGUUGAAUUUAAAUACCUUUCUUUCCAGAUGAAUCGUUUUUCUUUUAGCAUCAAUUUCAACUAAAUAUUCUAUUUUAAGUCUCAUUUAACAAUAUGAUUUUUAAAAAUUAGAUUUGUGUCUUUUGUGUAUUUCCCUCGUCUCCUGCCCUUUAUUUUUGUACAGCUAUAUCUGUUGAAUAAACCAGAAGCAACUAAACCA
Molecule: long non-coding RNA, 1549 nt
Organism: Homo sapiens (human)
Lineage: Eukaryota; Metazoa; Chordata; Mammalia; Primates; Hominidae
Gene: MIR99AHG
Product: mir-99a-let-7c cluster host gene
Source: Ensembl